UCCGCGAGAGAACGAAAGUAACCGACAUAGCCCACAGAAUUAGCAAGUUGAAGAGGCAGUGGGCUGGUCAUCUGUGUCGCAGGACCGAUGGCCGUUGGAGUAGACGGGUCCUAGAGUGGAGACCGCGUCUUGGCAAACGCAGUGUGGGACGUCCUUCGGCCCGUUGGACCGACGAUCUACGUAAGAUUGCCGGCUGGAUGAGGAUUGCGGAAAACCGGGAUGUCUGGCGCGAACUUGGGG
This 240-nucleotide unclassified non-coding RNA is filed under the name Melitaea cinxia (Glanville fritillary). RNAcentral's name for it is "misc RNA ENSMCXG00005005479.1". Lineage: Eukaryota; Metazoa; Arthropoda; Insecta; Lepidoptera; Nymphalidae. The record is from RNAcentral.